Molecule: ribosomal RNA, 390 nt
Filed under: uncultured bacterium
Lineage: Bacteria
Description: bacterial SSU rRNA
Rfam family: Bacterial small subunit ribosomal RNA
Source: RNAcentral
GACGAACGCUGGCGGCGUGCUUAACACAUGCAAGUCGAGCGGUAAGGCCCUUUCGGGGGUACGACGAGCGGCGAACGGGUGAGUAACACGUGGGUGACCUGCCCUCAGUUCUGGGAUAAGCCUGGGAAACCGGGUCUAAUACUGGAUAUGACCUCAUGACGCAUGUUGUGGGGUGGAAAGCCUUGUGCGACUGAGGAUGGGCCCGCGGCCUAUCAGCUUGUUGGUGGGGUGAUGGCCUACCAAGGCGACGACGGGUAGCCGGCCUGAGAGGGCGACCGGCUACAUUGGGGACUGAGACACGGCCCAGACUCCUACGGGAGGCAGCAGUGGGGAAUCUUGCGCAAUGGGCGAAAGCCUGACGCAGCGACGCCGCGUGAGGGAUGACGGCCU